ACACAGAUGGUGGAUGAAGGGUGCGCAUACAAAAGACCAUAAACCUGUGGCAGCAGCUGGAGACCGAGCCCGCUGAUUAAUUCAGGUCUGUGCAGUCCCCUCUUACUCAAAGACGUCUCUGUUCUCUCUCAUACCUCCCAUCCAUUCUCUUUGUCCCGGGGCUUCCGUCUCCACUUUAUCCUGUUUUCCCUGGACUGGUCCCCCGUCAGUGCGCAGCUGUUGUUGGCACUCCCACAUCUGCUUGUCUCAGCUCGGCAGCCAUGUAGACGACGCUCAGCCGCGGCUGGUGUAAGUGCGUAUAGCGCGUUGGUCCAGAGGGCGGGCAGCCUUCUACUGCGGGCUAACCACCGCACACACACAAGGGAUGGAUGUGCAGGGUCCGCAGCGCCUUCAGCAUGGAAGAAGAAGAAGAAGAUGAAGAAGAAGAUGAUCUUUUUGCGUCGCCUGAUGCUGCGGGACAGGUGCAUCCAUUGUGGAACCUGGAGAUCACCGAUAACAUUGUGGCCAGUGUUGCUGGAUUCAUCUACAGUCAGGACACUGGGAGGAUCCAAAUGGGAACCAACAGCAGGACAGGUUAUGUGUACAGGCUGGAUUAUAUUCAUUAAAAACACAAGCGAGGAUAGUUUUAAUGGCACACAAUAUCAGAUGUAGAAUUCAGUAGCAUUAGUCAGUCAGUGAGAUAACUGAUCCUGUAAUUUAUAUCUGUUGGCAGUAUGUGUACUCAUUUGUCUUAAUAAAAAGCAGCAAAGAUAAACAAUAAAACGAAAGAACAAGUAAUCCCUGGGGUAUUUUAGGAGGACAGUUGGGUUGCGUCCCACUUUUCUGCUGCUUUGUUUUGUGUAUUCCUCUCCAGUUACACUGAUGAAAGAGCAGACCAGGACUCGCUCUGGACCUCACGAGCGGAAUGGCUUCAUCACCCUCCUCUGUGCUGCCUCGCAGACUGUGAUCGAUGCAUGGUGCCAUCACUGAUGUCCAGACCCUCAGAAGGAGAGGAUCCAUGUCCAAGUGAAUACCUACUGAGAGAUGACUUCUGCUGCUUUUGUGUAUCAGUGAAAAGGGCUUUGAAGAGUUCAAAAUGCCACUGCUGUUAACAUGAUCAGAAUUUCCAGGAAAGCAUUUAAUGGCUGGUGUUUUCAGUCCAAAAUAAUUUGGUGCAGCUUUCCUUCCUGUUUCAAAUGUGCAGAUUUUCUUGGCUGUGAGUAAUACUAAUAUAGCUUCAUCGACCCCCACUAUCAUGAGUUUUUUGGCUGAUCAAAAACACAGACACUGCAGCCAUUAAACACCUCUUACGCUUGUUUUUUCUUCAGCUGCGUGUGCAGUGACCUCUUCGCUCCAUUACCUUGGUUACUCUGUCUAACUCUUUGCCCACUAUUCUCUGUUUAAGAUACUUUAAAGUAACCAGAAAAUGAGUUUUAACAUGUGUUAACUUCUCACCCAGGCUUAAAUGUAUCAGUGCCAGGUCCAGAACUGGAAAGCUAUGGUAUUUUAAGCCUGUAACAAAGUGAGUGAGAAUGACUAGUUUUCUCACAUUUUGACAAUGUGUAAUUCACACAGUAUGUUCUCUGUUUAUCUUGAAACUUCUUAUUUUAGGUGUGAUACCAACUUAUUUUAAUGUACUACAAUGUGUACUCUGUACUCUUUUUUACUGUAGUGUGUGAGCAGGUGUGUGUCAGUGUGAGUGCAUGUGUUUGUGUGCAUGUGCUCUAUUUGUGUGUGUGUAUUUGUUCCUGUAUGCGUGCAUGUGUCUGUAUGAUGAAACACUUUUGUAAUGGGCCUGAAGCUACUAGCUGCUUUUCAGUGGUUUUCUCCUUGCUGCACAGAUUUGAAAUGCCUGAAUCUCUUCUUUUAGCACACUGGGUGUACCAGACAAAGGAUUCAAAAAUAUUUACAAAUGAUUCUUAGCAUUUGUUAAGACCUCAUUGAAGUACCAGUUAGGUGGGGGUUCGUUUCCAGCUUCAUUCUUGUGAUUAUCUAAAUCACAAGAAUGAAGCUGGAAACGAAUGGUGUGUAGUUUUCUAAACGAUGCCUGCUGGCAUUAAUUAAACUGUUCAGAUGCCUACUGCCCCAUAAUUUGAUACUUCAGCAAAUUACGGCAAAUGCUAAUAAUUAUGUGCAAAUAGCUUUUUACCCAGUUCUGGAUUCUACUAACAAUAUCUGACUAAUAUCUAACAAUACUAAUGUCUGCUAACAGUCGGAUGAUUACUAACCUUUACUCUGAAUGCUGAUGGCUGGCUUUGUUCUUUCUAACCCACUGACUAACCCUCUGCUUUAUGCCCGCAGUCCGAUGCACACACUCCUCUCUCAUGAUCCUGCAAUUCUUCAGUGACUAAGAUUAAUUAUUAAAGUAGAAAAUCAAUGAAAACUGUUAAAGUGAAGUCAAGAAGGGUUUCAGGACUUGGGAAGGGAAAUGCUAUUAAUCCCUAGAUGGAAAGAGGAGCAGAAUCAGCUGCUGAUAUCAAACUGGGUUGACCACAUACUUAAGAAUCCUGACAAAACCAAUUAUGAUUGAUGAAAAAAUAAUAUCACUGCACUUUGUUGCACUUCACAGGCUAAAUUCUCAUCUUCAGAGACCGUCUUUCUGUCUCUACCUGUGUGGUCAACCCUUGCAGAUGAGUGACUGGCUUGUUGUCACCACAGGCCAAGCAAACCUUAACUCCAUUACUAAUGUAUUAUGGUAUUGAUACUAACAGUGGUGAGGCUGUAAAGACCCACCUGUUGCUCUUACUAACAUCUGCGUUCCUUCUGACUGAAACAUCCUGAUGUCUGUAAUCAAAUUAUUCCGUCUCUUUAUUGCUUCUUUGAUUAAAUCAAAGCAUACCUUGUGGCACUAGUUAUGCUUAUUGUAUUACAGUACAUGGGAGAUUUUAUCCAAAACAUCUUCUAGUGCCAUGAGUGUGUAUGCUUUUUAGAAAUGGGCACUGUGGCCUGUAGCUCUAACCGUGUCAAUGACAUGCUCAACAGAAAUCCGUAUAAACAAGCUACUAACAUCUACUAAAGUUAGGUACUAACCAAAGAGCUUUUAUUAGCUCGCUGCAAACUAACAAACUAACCCACUAAUAAACUAAUAAUCUAACAAAAACUAACUAAAAUCACUAACUUUGUGCUGAGUGGCAGAAUUAGUGAAGCACCCUGUUUUGAGGAGUUGCAUCACUUAUUGAAUGUACUAACAGAAUUUAGUUUUUUAGGAAUGACUUAUUGAUGUGUCUGUCUGUGUAUGUGUGUGAGAUAAAAAGCAAAAAGAGAGAGAGAGAGAGAGAGAGUGUUUGUGUGUGUGUGUGUGUGUUUGUUCCCCCAAACAAUAACGUUUAACAUAUCAAUGCAUAUUAUAUUUAUAGAGUACUUUUAACCAAAUGCAUCCACAGUAACUGACUACUCUGGUAUUACUCCUGAGCACCAGGAUACACUCCUUAAACCUUUUAAACAAUAUACUGUGUGAAGUAUCAAGGAUGUAAAGUAAAUCAAUUCAAUGUGCACAACAAGUUUUUCACUUUAUCGCUAAUUUAUUAAUUGUCC
This is a long non-coding RNA of Anoplopoma fimbria (sablefish), 3513 nucleotides long. RefSeq lists it as uncharacterized. The transcript is spliced from 3 exons. The record is from RefSeq and is a predicted model, not a curated record. NCBI's taxonomy places the organism in Eukaryota, Metazoa, Chordata, Actinopteri, Perciformes, Anoplopomatidae.